CGAGAUUCCCCCAGUAGCGGCGAGCGAACGGGGAGCAGCCCAGAGCCUGAAUCAGUGUGUGUGUUAGUGGAAGCGUCUGGAAAGGCGCGCGAUACAGGGUGACAGCCCCGUACACAAAAAUGCACAUGCUGUGAGCUCGAUGAGUAGGGCGGGACACGUGGUAUCCUGUCUGAAUAUGGGGGGACCAUCCUCCAAGGCUAAAUACUCCUGACUGACCGAUAGUGAACCAGUACCGUGAGGGAAAGGCGAAAAGAACCCCGGCGAGGGGAGUGAAAAAGAACCUGAAACCGUGUACGUACAAGCAGUGGGAGCCUCUUUAUGGGGUGACUGCGUACCUUUUGUAUAAUGGGUCAGCGACUUAUAUUCUGUAGCAAGGUUAACCGAAUAGGGGAGCCGAAGGGAAACCGAGUCUUAACUGGGCGUUAAGUUGCAGGGUAUAGACCCG
This 445-nucleotide ribosomal RNA is filed under the name Escherichia coli. Its description in RNAcentral is "partial 23S ribosomal RNA". It matches the Rfam family "Bacterial large subunit ribosomal RNA", at positions 230 to 717 of the family's 2925-position model. Lineage: Bacteria; Pseudomonadati; Pseudomonadota; Gammaproteobacteria; Enterobacterales; Enterobacteriaceae. The record is from RNAcentral.